This 143-nucleotide small RNA is filed under the name Citrobacter amalonaticus. RNAcentral's name for it is "RtT sRNA". It matches the Rfam family "RtT RNA". Rfam says of the family: This family represents a bacterial cis-regulatory element known as RtT RNA. The exact function of RtT is unknown although it is thought that it may be involved in changing the cellular response in relation to amino acid starvation. The record is from RNAcentral. Lineage: Bacteria; Pseudomonadati; Pseudomonadota; Gammaproteobacteria; Enterobacterales; Enterobacteriaceae.
GAGCGAUCAUAAGGGCGCUGACUGCAAAUCUGCCGUCAUCGACUUCAAAGGUUCGACUCGAGCGAUAGCGAGAGAACGUUGCCAACGGCAACGGCCCGAAGGGUGAGGAGCUUUAGCUCCGAGUAAUCCUUCCCUGUUAUCGA